UUCUACUAUCCAAAUUUGGAUAUUUCACCCAUGUUCUAUAAAUGAUUUUACAUCCCAUCUCUAUCAUCUCUCCAUCGAGCAUAUCCUUUUUCCCCCUUCAGUUUUCAUCCAUCUCCGUCACUAACACAACUUUACAGAUGGUAUGAAAGUUUAGGUUGGCUUUGUGUUCCAGAAAUUGUUUCAACAAAUCAAGCAAUGGUAGAGAUGGAUCUAUUCCUAAUGGAGAAGUGGUGAUGUGGAAUUGCAAGUCAAUGUUAUCUGGAUAAUUCAUUUGGGGAUGAGAGUAUCUGUUGUUUGAACUGGAAUCGAAAAUCAAAUUGGUAUGGAUUCGAAUUGAAAUAUGAAGCUGUGGUGGUGACAGUGACGAGAUAAACUGGCUGCCAUUGUUUCACUGGAAGGGAAAAGAGAUGAAGAGAAGUAUGAGAAAGCUAGAAUACUAAAGGUACAAUGUUGUAUAAAUUAGUGGGUGUUAUUGAUUUACUAUACUGGAUCUAAAGCAGUCGUUAUAUAUCGUGCUCAUCGUUUGUUCGAUAAAAUGAUGCACCCAUCUCUUUGACGUUUUUCUCACAUAUUCAGGAUCUAGAUGUAGGAUAUAACUAGGAGCCCCCUGUUGUAAUACUUCUCUUGUCCUAUCUAAUAUGUUACAACCACCAGCUUCAUAUUCAAGAUUCUACAAGUCUAGAAAUGAUUUCGUUAAAAUGUGUGUAAGUUACAACCACCAGCUUCUCUACCAGAUGCAUAGGUCUGUCUGAUUAUCGACCCUUUUGUUCACCGGCUGGCUAUGUAAUCGUCUACUGGAUGUAUAGGCCUAGUGCUUAUUUAAUGAUCUUUACAAAUAAUACAAAGCAUCAUCCUCUUUGAAUAUACGAGAUGCACCUGAGUGCAUAAUGAGUGCAUAAUGUAUAUUUUGAUAGAAAAAUAUGUUUUGGUUUAGAUGCAUCGGGUACAUAAUGUAUAUUUUCUAAUAUUUUGUUCAUAUUAUUUUUCUUCUUUAA
Molecule: long non-coding RNA, 995 nt
Organism: Papaver somniferum (opium poppy)
Lineage: Eukaryota; Viridiplantae; Streptophyta; Magnoliopsida; Ranunculales; Papaveraceae
Exons: 2
Source: RefSeq, a predicted model, not a curated record